AAAACCGGAAAUGACAUAUAUUACAGGGGUGAAAAACACUAUUAACCUUAAUAAUAAUAAUAAAAAAACUGUAGUGAAUUUAAAAAAAAAAACAGUUGGGCUCAAACUGGUUAGAUCUGGAUCGUCUGAUGAAUCAGAAGGUCUAGAUCUAAUCACAGGAAGUAUCAUCACAGCCACUGGAUCUGAGAUCCAACAGUUAAAAGGAAAUCCGGUUUGAUUUAAAAAAAACGGUUCAAAUGAAAUAAAAACCGGUUUAAUAGCAAGUAUAUAAGCAAAUUCGGUUCACCAAACUUCAUUUCUCUCAAACCUUUCUCUCUCUAAACCGAAAAAACUCUCCCUUCUCUCUAAAAAAUUUCUGAAAAAAUUAUGACAUCUGGACUGACUGGGAUCCACAAAACUUAGACAAAACUCUUAAAAGGACUUAAAAGAAAAAAUAGAAAGGAAAACAAAAGUUAUGAAGUAGAAGAAAUUUCACGUGACUUUCUAAAACAAUAAAACAUAAUAAUAAAAAACAAAAAGAUUAGAAAAUAAAAAUAAAGAUAAUGACAAAAAAACAAAAAAAAAAAUUCCGUUCGGAAUCAAAUAAGGUACUUCAAAAUAACCUUCCUGCCGAAAUUUCGUUUGAAAUGAUUAAAAAGACGCGACUUAAAAAUACGAUUAGACCUUUUUAAAAUAACUUGACUGUUACGACUAAAAAGACUAUAAAAUGCGUUAUAAAAAUGCAGACGAAGUGAUUUUAAUUGUUGUAAAAAUGCAAGCGGGGACUUAAUUGCAAGAUAAAUUUUUUUAAAUGAUUAAAGACGAAAAAACACGAGUUUUAAAUGGUAAAAAACGAAUAAAAGAGAAUGUGAACUAUUUUAAAAUAUGGACAAAAAAGAUUUUAAACGGUCCAAAUUUGGGGUAUGACAAUAUGUAUCCCUUCUUCUCCGUGUUUGGAUGAUUAAUUGAUGGAACAAAGUGGAAGGGUCACAAAAGUAUCUUUAUUGGUUCUACAACCUGCAAUUUGAAAGGGAACAAAAAAACGAGGGUUCGAAAAGGGAAUGGCUACUCUCUUUUUCUUCCCUUUUAUAAGUUUGUAAACUUCCAAACAAUGAGAUUUUUCAUCAACCCUUUCAUUAUUUAUACAUAUAUAAAUAUAGUGAUAGAGUUAGAAAAACUGUUUUGACAAUUUGCAAGACUAGUUCGUCAUGCAUUUGGAGACUGAUAUACAUUGCAGGGAGGUACAUUUACGAUGUCCUCUUUAUUAGCUGCAUUUGUUGUUUCUCAUAAUGAUCAUCUUCCUACCGUUGUUUCUACAUGAGCAGCUGAGAGGAGGGUCGUUCCAGGUUCAGGUGGUGAAGAAUUCAAGUUUGCUUCCUUCAUUGCCGUGACCCUCAGCUGUGAUCAUCGUGUUAUAAAUAAAUGGGGCGAUUGGUGCCGAAUGGUUGAAAGCUUUAAAAGGCUGUAUUGAGAAUCCAUAAACCAUGUUGUUGUAAGUAGAAGGCUCCGAUGAAGUACUCAAUUCCUUUUUUUGAGUGAUAUUGUAUGCGGGAGAUAAGAUUUGAUCACCGGGUAUUUACCCAUUUGGGUUUGGUUGAUUGUAUCCCUGACCAAUUUUUUAUUUAAGUAUUUACUCUCUUACAAUAAAUUUUGCAUAAGUGAGGGUAGAUAAGACAUUGAAUUUUGAGUCCUGAAAUCAUCUUCUUAGAAGAGAAUCCGCCCUUUAUACAGGCAAACGAGGAUCUAACAUUUUCUUUGUUGGAUGAUGUGAAUAAUUGAAACACUAAUUUUAUUUUAUUGGCAUCUCACCUUGUGUUGAUCGAGUA
This is a long non-coding RNA of Medicago truncatula (barrel medic), 1805 nucleotides long. RefSeq lists it as uncharacterized. NCBI's taxonomy places the organism in Eukaryota, Viridiplantae, Streptophyta, Magnoliopsida, Fabales, Fabaceae. The record is from RefSeq and is a predicted model, not a curated record. The transcript is spliced from 2 exons.